GAAUUCUCAACUCCCAAGUUUCUUAUGAAGCCUGGUGAGCUUGGACUUGGAGGCUGUGCAGGCUUUGUAUAAGCCAGCUCCUCUGAAAUGUAUUAGCGUGAACCUUACGGAUCGCCUUCAGUGUGAUAAAUGUCUACGCUGUGGCUGUGAAGUAUUUAUAUGUUCAUGCUUACAAUUGUCUUUCUGAGACAAUCUUUAAC
RNAcentral lists this unclassified non-coding RNA (200 nucleotides) under Ceriporia aurantiocarnescens. RNAcentral describes it as "partial internal transcribed spacer 2". Lineage: Eukaryota; Fungi; Basidiomycota; Agaricomycetes; Polyporales; Irpicaceae. The record is from RNAcentral.